This 497-nucleotide ribosomal RNA is filed under the name uncultured bacterium. RNAcentral's name for it is "partial 16S ribosomal RNA". It matches the Rfam family "Bacterial small subunit ribosomal RNA", at positions 28 to 507 of the family's 1533-position model. The record is from RNAcentral.
GAUGAACGCUGGCGGCGUGCCUAAUACAUGCAAGUCGAGCGAACAGACGAGGAGCUUGCUCCUCUGACGUUAGCGGCGGACGGGUGAGUAACACGUGGAUAACCUACCUAUAAGACUGGGAUAACUUCGGGAAACCGGAGCUAAUACCGGAUAAUAUAUUGAACCGCAUGGUUCAAUAGUGAAAGACGGUUUUGCUGUCACUUAUAGAUGGAUCCGCGCCGCAUUAGCUAGUUGGUAAGGUAACGGCUUACCAAGGCGACGAUGCGUAGACGACCUGAGAGGGUGAUCGGCCACACGAGAACGUAGACACGGUCCAGACUCCUGCGGGAGGCAGCAGUAGGGAAUCUUCCGCAAUGGGCGAAAGCCUGACGGAGCAACGCCGCGUGAGUUAUGAAGGUCUUCGGAGCGUAAAACUCUGUUAUGAGGGAAGAACAAAUGUGUAAGUAACUAUGCACGUCUUGACGGUACCUAAUCAGAAAGCCACGGCUAACUACGUG